AAACUUGUCAAUGAGGGAAACCUCGAACAGGGGACUCCAAGUGCAUGCGUUUUACGUAUGCUUUUCAGUUGUCUAAAACACAGCCGGAAUAAGGGCUGGGUAAGACAGGUGCCAGCCGCCCCGGUAAUACCUGCAGCCCAAGUGGUAAUCGUUAUUAUUGAGCCUAAAGCGUCCGUAGCCGGUCUGGUAAACCCUCGGGUAAAUCGAGCAGCUCAACUGUUCGAAUUCCGGGGGGACUGCCAGACUUGGAACCGGGAGAGGUCAGAGGUACUCCAGGGGUAGGGGCUAAAUCCUGUAAUCCUUGGAGGACCACCAGUGGCGAAGGCGUCUGACUAGAACGGAUUCCACGGUAAGGGACAAAACCCUGGGGCGCAAACCGGAUUAGAUACCCGGGUAG
Molecule: ribosomal RNA, 397 nt
Filed under: uncultured archaeon
Lineage: Archaea
Description: bacterial SSU rRNA
Rfam family: Archaeal small subunit ribosomal RNA
Source: RNAcentral